RNAcentral lists this small nuclear RNA (160 nucleotides) under Chelydra serpentina (North American snapping turtle). Its description in RNAcentral is "U1 spliceosomal RNA (ENSCSRG00000020383.1)". It matches the Rfam family "U1 spliceosomal RNA". From Rfam's summary of the family: U1 is a small nuclear RNA (snRNA) component of the spliceosome (involved in pre-mRNA splicing). Its 5' end forms complementary base pairs with the 5' splice junction, thus defining the 5' donor site of an intron. There are significant differences in sequence and secondary structure between metazoan and yeast U1 snRNAs, the latter being much longer (568 nucleotides as compared to 164 nucleotides in human). Lineage: Eukaryota; Metazoa; Chordata; Testudines; Chelydridae. The record is from Rfam by way of RNAcentral.
AGCCUAACACCUCGAUACCAUGAUCACGAAGGUGGUUUUCCCAGGGUGAGGCUCAUCCAUUGCACUGCGGGUGUGCUGACCCCUGCGAUUUCCCCAAAUGCGGGAAACUCGACUGCAUAAUUUGUGGUAGUGGGGGACUGCGUUCAAAAACAACUCCCUC